AUUCAAUGAUGAGGGCAUCUUCGUAAUAAUUCUUUAAAUCUUUCCCAUGCCUCAUACAAGAACUUGUUGUCCAUCUGUUGGAAGGUAGUGAUCUCGUUCUUUAAUUU
Gossypium arboreum is the source of this 107-nucleotide small nucleolar RNA. The record is from RefSeq and is a predicted model, not a curated record. NCBI's taxonomy places the organism in Eukaryota, Viridiplantae, Streptophyta, Magnoliopsida, Malvales, Malvaceae.